This 253-nucleotide ribosomal RNA is filed under the name uncultured bacterium. RNAcentral's name for it is "partial 16S ribosomal RNA". It matches the Rfam family "Bacterial small subunit ribosomal RNA", at positions 524 to 776 of the family's 1533-position model. The record is from RNAcentral.
UACGAAGGGGGCUAGCGUUGUUCGGAAUUACUGGGCGUAAAGGGCGCGUAGGCGGUGUGUCAAGUCAGGCGUGAAAGCCCCGGGCUCAACCUGGGAACCGCGCUUGAGACUGGCACGCUCGAGUUCGGGAGAGGAUGGUGGAAUUCCCAGUGUAGAGGUGAAAUUCGUAGAUAUUGGGAAGAACACCGGUGGCGAAGGCGGCUAUCUGGACCGACAUUGACGCUGAGGCGCGAAAGCGUGGGGAGCAAACAGG